UGAGAGUGGAACUUGAAUCGUGCCUUUGAGUGUCCCCUUGGGACCCUUUUUAUAGGGUCUCGGAGGGCGCACUCAACGGCGGAGAUCGCGCCUAUGGUUAUAUAUGGUAACAUUUAUAACGUUGGCUGCCGCCGAGUAACGGUCGUAAGUCGUCGAUUCAGGUAUGGAAGUCGCCUAGUUAAGGGCUAACUCGGCGAGUUUCUAGGGCCAAGAUGUGCAGUCUACCAUACUGUCGAUCUUGCCUUAACUCGACGAGUUAUCCUGUAUGUCGGCGACUUGGUAGUCCAAUCGGGCGACUUUACGGGCUAACUCGGCGAUCUGGACGAUGAAUGUGUUCCGCACCGUGGGAGCUCUCCGGGGGUCCUGCCAUAGCGACGAAGCCCUAGUCCUUGUUGAGAGGCGUUGAUGGGUAGUGACUGGUGUAAUCAGGCAUGUCUCACCACCUACCAAAACCCUUAUAGCCGUUGGGUUUCUACCUCUAUAAGUAUGAAUCAUCACAACAUAACACGUAGGCUUUGGAUUAAGGUUCUUGGUCCCAAAUCACCAUCUCUAUCUUCUUCAAUCUGUUCUCUGGAAUCUGCAAUCUGUCCUCUGGAAUUCAAAUCGUCUGAUCAAGCUUGCUCUUCAUCUGGAGAUUACUCAUCCGAUCUGUUCAUCGUCUUCAUCAUCUCCAGCAUCUACAUUCUGCAAUCAUCUCAAUCUUCACAAAUCUGUAUUGUCAUUUACUUUCCAAUAAGUUCAAUAUUGUCAUAUAUAAACAUUGCAUUGUAUCUCAAAUACUUGGAUAAUCAUACAUCAUAAUCAUAUAAUUCUAACACUAUUCCUUGACAGUGCAAGUGGAGACAUCAUGAUGAUGAAGGCCAUUGAAACAAGGAGGACUGCUACAAUCGCCAUCUUUUUAUGUUUUUCUUUGGUUUGGUUUGGUUUGGUUUAGUUUGGUUUUUAUAGAAGAAAUAUGGUAGCGGUUACAGCAAAUUUGCGAUGUUGAUUCAUUCAAUUAUUAAAAAUUGAUUUAGAUUGAUG
This 1023-nucleotide long non-coding RNA is filed under the name Zostera marina. RNAcentral's name for it is "long non-coding RNA (ZMAR_LNC000525)". Lineage: Eukaryota; Viridiplantae; Streptophyta; Magnoliopsida; Alismatales; Zosteraceae. The record is from RNAcentral.